Molecule: transfer RNA, 65 nt
Filed under: Asymmetron inferum
Lineage: Eukaryota; Metazoa; Chordata; Leptocardii; Amphioxiformes; Branchiostomatidae
Description: tRNA-Thr
Rfam family: tRNA
About the family: Transfer RNA (tRNA) molecules are approximately 80 nucleotides in length. Their secondary structure includes four short double-helical elements and three loops (D, anti-codon, and T loops). Further hydrogen bonds mediate the characteristic L-shaped molecular structure. tRNAs have two regions of fundamental functional importance: the anti-codon, which is responsible for specific mRNA codon recognition, and the 3' end, to which the tRNAs corresponding amino acid is attached (by aminoacyl-tRNA synthetases). tRNAs cope with the degeneracy of the genetic code in two manners: having more than one tRNA (with a specific anti-codon) for a particular amino acid; and 'wobble' base-pairing, i.e. permitting non-standard base-pairing at the 3rd anti-codon position.
Source: RNAcentral
GUUUUAGUAGCUUAACUUAAAGCGCCGGUCUUGUAAGCCGAAGAUAGUAUAAAUAUUCUAAGACU